UACGUAGGGGGCUAGCGUUGUCCGGAUUUAUUGGGCGUAAAGGGCGUGUAGGCGGCCAUGUAGGUCCGGUGUGAAAACUCGAGGCUUAACCUCGAGAUGUCAUCGGAAACCAUUUGGCUAGAGUCCGGAAGAGGAGAGUGGAAUUCCUGGUGUAGCGGUGAAAUGCGCAGAUAUCAGGAAGAACACCAAUGGCGAAAGCAGCUCUCUGGGACGGUACUGACGCUGAGACGCGAAAGCGUGGGGAGCGAACAGG
Molecule: ribosomal RNA, 253 nt
Filed under: uncultured bacterium
Lineage: Bacteria
Description: partial 16S ribosomal RNA
Rfam family: Bacterial small subunit ribosomal RNA
Source: RNAcentral